AAUAUUGCACAAUGGGGAAACCCUGAUGCAGCAACGCCGCGUGAGCGAUGAAGGCUUCGGGUCGUAAAGCUCUGUCCUAAGGGAAGAUAAUGACGGUACCUUAGGAGGAAGCCCCGGCUAACUACGUGCCAGCAGCCGCGGUAAUACGUAGGGGGCAAGCGUUAUCCGGAAUAACUGGGCGUAAAGGGUGCGUAGGCGGYCUUUGCAAGUCAGAAGUGAAAGGCUACGGCUCAACCGUAGUAAGCUUUUGAAACUGUAGGGCUUGAGUGCAGGAGAGGAGAGUAGAAUUCCUAGUGUAGCGGUGAAAUGCGUAGAUAUUAGGAGGAAUACCAGUUGCGAAGGCGGSUCUCUGGACUGUAACUCGACGCUGAGGCACGAAAGCGUGGGGAGUGAACAGGAUUAGAUACCCUGGUAGUCCACUCCGUAAACGAUGAGUGCUAGGUGUCGGGUUNWCCCCCCUCGGUGCYGCAGUAACGCAUUAAGCACUCC
Molecule: ribosomal RNA, 489 nt
Filed under: uncultured delta proteobacterium
Lineage: Bacteria; Deltaproteobacteria
Description: bacterial SSU rRNA
Rfam family: Bacterial small subunit ribosomal RNA
Source: RNAcentral